This 460-nucleotide ribosomal RNA is filed under the name uncultured bacterium. RNAcentral's name for it is "partial 16S ribosomal RNA". It matches the Rfam family "Bacterial small subunit ribosomal RNA", at positions 338 to 795 of the family's 1533-position model. The record is from RNAcentral.
CCUACGGGGGGCAGCAGUGAGGAAUAUUGGUCAAUGGUCGGAAGGCUGAACCAGCCAUGCCGCGUGAAGGUCAGUGCCCUAUGGGCGUUAAACUUCUUUUGUGCGGGAGCAAUAAUGGUCACGUGUGGCCAGACGAGAGUACCGUACGAAUAAGCAUCGGCUAACUCCGUGCCAGCAGCCGCGGUAAUACGGGGGAUGCAAGCGUUAUCCGGAUUUAUUGGGUUUAAAGGGUGCGUAGGCUGUGAGGUAAGUCAGCGGUGAAAUGCCCCCGCUCAACGGGGUGAAGUGCCAUUGAUACUGCCUGGCUGGAAUGCGGAUGCCGUGGGAGGAAGGUGUGGUGUAGCGGUGAAAUGCAUAGAUAUCACACAGAACACCGAUUGCGAAGGCAUCUCACGAAUCCGCGAUUGACGCUGAUGCACGAAAGCGUGGGUAUCAAACAGGAUUAGAUACCCGAGUAGUC